UAGCUUUCAACCUUACUACAUGCACAAUUUCAACAAUCUAACUCACUCUUAUUUCAUUCAAUCUUCUGCAACUGAAUCAGGAGAGAAUGGGGAAAAUAAAAUGCAUCAUCACUAUGGAUUGUCUACUGAUUUUCACUCUUGUCGUGAUGAAUAUUCAUCACGUCCUCGGAGAUGCCAAUGUCACUGUUACUUUUCUCAACACCGCUAUAUCUAAAGGAGCAGUUUGUCUAGAUGGAAGCGCACCCGCUUACUCGUACGUUGAGGGCUUCGGAACCGGAUCUCAUAGCUGGAUAGUUUAUUUGGUGGUAUAU
Long non-coding RNA from Salvia splendens (bonfire salvia), 311 nucleotides. RefSeq lists it as uncharacterized. The record is from RefSeq and is a predicted model, not a curated record. The transcript has 3 exons. Lineage: Eukaryota; Viridiplantae; Streptophyta; Magnoliopsida; Lamiales; Lamiaceae.